GAGAAUCCAUCAAUCAAUAUGGCAGGUCAGAAGAGAGAAUCUAGCUCUAGUUAGUGUUUGGGUUUCUGGAGAGCCAUAAAAACGAAGUGAUGUUGCAUUUGUCUAGGCCAACUAAAUUGUAAUUCCCAAUCAGACCCAUUGUCGACGAAGAUCAAUCGUAAACCUAAAGCGCAGAGUGGCACUGGCAGAGGAAGGGUGUAGAAAUUGUGGAAUAGAGUCAGAGAGAUAUGUUACAAUUCCCGGCGUUCAUGAGAUGAGGCAGUACACAUCGUCGAAGAGGACAACACCUUCGCCGCCCAACGUCACAGUGAAGGUUUCCUUCCCGCCUUGGAAGAAUCCGAAUUCGAAGACGGGCUUCAGCUGCAAUUUUGCCAAACUUUUGACAUAUGUAAGCUGUUACUUGGGUGUACUUUAAUGGAUAGGAAGAAGAAAUGCUAAAGACAAAUUUGAGAGAUUAGAUUAUUUAAAAGAAAAAAGAAAGAAGAAUAGCCGUGGAAGAGAGGGCUCUUGUCGUUAAGCUAAUUGUUCGUUUUAAUCUCUGGAGAUAUUGUCCACUGGCGGAGCCAACCUUCCCCGGAAUAAACGUAGGAAAUUUAUGGAACUUGCCACCAUUUACACUGAUUACUCUGGUCAAAGGAUGAAAGAAAUUUCCUUCUGGGAAGGACUGGUCAAUUUCCGCUAGCUAAUACAUUUCUGAGCCACAAGCUUUAAUUUUGACAAUUCAUUUUGAAGACUCCAUCGUGUUAGGGCUCUUGACCCUUCCCUUCCAGCCCUUCUCCUGUUGGUCGAUAAAAAUAUUAGUGCCUCAUCGCUUCCAACACCUAAUGCUUGGAGUAUAAUUAAAUUUUCGAAAUUUAACAAAUUAUUUCUCUUUAUUUAGAAGGAGACUCUGUUGUUAUUUGCAGCCAACAAGCAAACUUGCCAGUGUUCAGCAAAUAGUGAUGCUUGUCUCUUGUAUAAUAGUUUUUUUUUAUUUUCUGUUUAAGUUAAGAUUGUUGUUUUUC
Molecule: long non-coding RNA, 1004 nt
Organism: Mangifera indica (mango)
Lineage: Eukaryota; Viridiplantae; Streptophyta; Magnoliopsida; Sapindales; Anacardiaceae
Exons: 2
Source: RefSeq, a predicted model, not a curated record